RNAcentral lists this ribosomal RNA (254 nucleotides) under uncultured bacterium. RNAcentral describes it as "partial 16S ribosomal RNA". It matches the Rfam family "Bacterial small subunit ribosomal RNA", at positions 524 to 776 of the family's 1533-position model. The record is from RNAcentral.
UACAGAGGUGGCAAGCGUUGUUCGGAAUUACUGGGCGUAAAGGGCGCGUAGGCGGCCACCGCAAGUCGACUGUGAAAUCUCCGGGCUUAACCCGGAAAGGUCAGCCGAUACUGCGGGGCUAGAGUGCAGAAGGGGCAACUGGAAUUCUCGGUGUAGCGGUGAAAUGCGUAGAUAUCGAGAGGAACACCUGCGGCGAAGGCGGGUUGCUGGGCUGACACUGACGCUGAGGCGCGAAAGCUAGGGGAGCGAACGGG